CCUACGGGAGGCAGCAGUGGGGAAUUUUGCACAAUGCUCGUAAGCGUGACGCAGCGACGCCGCGUGAAUGACGAAGGCCUUCGGGUCGUAAAGUUCUUUCUGCAGGGAGGAAGGUACUUAUAAUUAACUCUUUAUUUCUUGACGGUACCUGUAGAAGCAGCACCGGCUAACUCCGUGCCAGCAGCCGCGGUAAUACGGAGGGGGCAAGCGUUGUUCGGAGUUACUGGGCGUAAAGCGCACGUAGGCGGUGUUGUAAGUCAUAAGUGAAAUCCUAGGGCUCAACCUGAGUACUGCAAGUGAUACUGGAAUACUAGAGUAUCAGAGAGGAGGGUAGAAUUCCAGGUGUAGCGGUGAAAUGCGUAGAGAUCAGGAGGAAUACCGGUGGCGAAGGCGGCACCCUGGAUGGAAACUGACGCUGAGGUGCGAAAGCGUGGGGAGCAAACAGGAUUAGAUACCCGGGUAGUC
This 465-nucleotide ribosomal RNA is filed under the name uncultured bacterium. Its description in RNAcentral is "partial 16S ribosomal RNA". It matches the Rfam family "Bacterial small subunit ribosomal RNA", at positions 338 to 795 of the family's 1533-position model. The record is from RNAcentral.